Long non-coding RNA from Anguilla rostrata (American eel), 2335 nucleotides. RefSeq lists it as uncharacterized. The record is from RefSeq and is a predicted model, not a curated record. Lineage: Eukaryota; Metazoa; Chordata; Actinopteri; Anguilliformes; Anguillidae. The transcript has 2 exons.
UAAGUGAGACUGACAUCUUCAUUGGAUUUUGGCAUUACGGAUUAUAAUUGUGUGAUGUGUGUAUGUGUGUGUGUGUGUGUGUCUGCGUAUGUGUAUAAUUUAAUGUGUUUGAAUGGAUAAUCAGUGGAAUUCCUUUUCUGUGAUGAUACAAACCAAGACAGUGAAAGUUUCACAGAUGGGGAAUUUUACAGCUCUCUGUAGAAUAGUAGUGUUGUAAUGUAUUAUAACAUAUUUGUAUAGGACAGUGCUGAACAGCAGCAUUGCCAUAUAAAACAGGGAGUUGCAGUGUUGGGUUUAAACGACAAUGUUGCUUUUUGUUUGUUAAGGCAAUUGGAACAUGGACAGAGUGCAUAAUGAAGUACAGUAUACUAACGUUUGCACAGAAAUGCACUCAAAAAAGACACAACUCCUGGGAGGUGAUACCGACAGACUGGACUCAGAGACAAAAACCAAAAUUGUGUAUAAAUUGUGUAAACAAGUGUGGAAAUAACUGCACUGGUGCAACUAAAGAUAGACUGGCUGUGUCAAAAGCCAGAGUCCUAUGUCCCUUACCCCAUAAAUGCUCAGUUUGGUUCAAAUAUGGUGGCUGAGAAGGCCAUGACAUAUGGAUAACAUCACCCACACACCGGGAAUGAAGAAAAUACUUUAGCAUGGGCUGAAGAUGCUCAUUCAGUAGCACUGAGUUACCAUUAACAGUGAGCUUGCCUUCUAGGCAUGAACCAUGACAGGAAUAUCCAUUCCUCUUCAUAAUGGAACUAACUUGUCUAACACUUAGCUGUCGCUGCUUCCAGAUGCUGCUUGCUACCAUACUUUCCUAUUUGUUCUUUGAAUCAUGCACUUGUAUCCUUACUGUGUAUGGUGGCAUCUGUCAUGAAUGAAGCAAAAUUUUAUCAGUAUUUCUGUGAUUAAUAUUAAAAUUAUGUCUUCAUCAAUACGUGUCUUAAUCGUCUGAACAGAUCUUGUGUUGGGCAGAUCACAGGCCAGAGAUGUCCUGAAGGUCUUACUCGCUUAUUAUUUAAGUAAAAUAAUAAAUGCCCUGAUGUGGAUGAUAUUGGUGACUUUGUCUGAAGAUGAUGAAGUAAUCCCAUCCCAAUCCAAGCCCUUUGCCUCUUCAUGCAUCCCAGUGCCUCAGUACUGAAGGCUUAGACACAAACACCAGGACAAGAGUUUGUGUCUAAGCACAACAAUGACAUAAAGCUGUUUAAGAUUCCUGUUUCUUGUGAAAAGAGACACUGUUGUAAUAUAGUUAGGUGUAUCAUAUGGGAAGAUGUUCUCUUGUGGUUGGGGGGGAGGGGGUCUUGAAGCAUACCACUUCAUGCGAAUCCCAGGUGAGCCAAAGCCUCAAUAACUAUUAAUAUCCACCUGUUUAUCACCCUCACGACAGCCCCUAAUUGUUCUAGUUUCAGCGCUUCUGACUCUGUGUUUCCUGAGGGCUGAUCAUAUGAAAAAGAAUAAGAUAACGUUGAUAUACACAACAGAUGUUCAGAAGCAUAGCCUGUCUUUCGGUUUGUGCUCAGCGUGGUGAACCAAUAUCUACACGCCCAGAUGGUGGUAUUCAGACUUUGUUUCCUACUGUUUUGUCUGAGAUGGUGAACGGCAAAUAGUGUUUUGCCACAGGGCCCUACUUCUGCAGACCCACACUGACCCACUCUAUUUCCUGUCCACUUUAUGUGCCUAUAUACAGCACAACCUUAUCAGUUGCUCUCAUUUCUACACCUACUAAUCAUAUGCUUUGUCAAACUCCCAUCUACAGUACUUUAAAAAUAGGACUGUAAUAGUAUUUUUGUUCAGCUAAUGUCUGUGAACACAAAGGAUGUGCGCAAAACACACACUGAAAACCCUGCUGAAUAGCACCUUAGACUUUACCUUAGACCGUAGCUGAGAACGUUUAACUUUAGGCCAAUUACUUAAAAAUGUAGUAAACAUUGGGCAGCAUUACUGGAAUACAGUUUGUUUAAUUUGUGUGAGCUAACAUAGCCAAUAUUAUUUCAUGUAAUUUGACACAAUUUUGAUAUCAAUACUUUUAAUUGCAGGCCUAGAAUUUCUAAGUUUUAAUUAAUGACUUAUACACAGUGUUUUGUAUGGGUGAGCAUUUUUGUACAUUGAAAAUGUGUUUUACUUCAGCUCAGUAUGUGCAUGACAAAACAUCCAUAUAUGUACUAUAGGGUGUUUUAUUUUACUGUUACAAUUAUUUCGCCCAUCUGUUACAGUUAUACUGACCAGGCUGUAUGAAUGUAACAUCGGACUGCUUGUACCUUGGUUUGAAUUGUAUCCGACACUAUUAAAGUAAUAAUCUUGAAGAUUUUCAUUAAAAUAAAUGUCUUUUAAGUCACUA